This 2685-nucleotide ribosomal RNA is filed under the name wastewater metagenome. Its description in RNAcentral is "bacterial LSU rRNA". The stretch from base 2 to 2215 matches the Rfam family "Bacterial large subunit ribosomal RNA", at positions 15 to 2044 of the family's 2925-position model. The record is from RNAcentral.
AGGGUGCACGGUGGAUGCCUAGGCUUGCAACAGCGAUGAAGGACGCGACUAAUCAGCGAAAUGCUUCGGGGAGGUGAUUUGUAACCUUUGAUCCGGAGGUAUCCGAAUGGGGAAACCCGGCCAGUAAUGGUCACUCAAGACUUAAUGAUUUUGAGAGCUCACCCAGGGAAGUGAAACAUCUCAGUACCUGGAGGAAAAGAAACUAACCAGUAUUUCCUAAGUAGCGGCGAGCGAAACGGAAAAAGCCCAAACCGAGCUACAUUCAUACGAUGUACUGAGCGCGCAAGCGCGAAUGUAUGUUGUGUGAAUGUUGCUCGGGGUUGUAAGGCAGUAACAUAGUUUUAACUAGAGGAGUCAAAAAUUAUAAUAAUAAAUGAAGUUGUUGGAAACCAACGCCAUAGCAGGUGAUAGCCCUGUAAUUGAAAUUAUUGUAACUCUUUUGUUACUGUUCUUGAGUACUUCGAGACACGAAUAGCUCGGAGGAAUCCGCCGGCACUAACCGGCAAGGCUAAAUACUCUUUUAGAUCGAUAGUGAACUAGUACCGUGAGGGAAAGGUGAAAAGAACCCCGAUUAGGGGAGUGAAAUAGACCUGAAACCGUAUGCUUACAAGGAGUCGGAGCGGACACGAUUUAUCGUGAUCCGUCACGGCGUGCCUAUUGAAGAAUGAGCCAACGAGUUUAUGCAUGCUGCAAGGCUAAGUUGUUUUGCAACGCAGUCGUAGGGAAACCGAGUGUUAAUAGCGCGACUAAGUAGUAUGCAUAAGACCCGAAGCCAGGUGAGCUACCCAUGUGCAGGAUGAAGUUCGCAGAAAUGCGGAUGGAGGUCCGAACCGGUGAGCCGUUCAACACUCUCGGAUGACAUGUGGGUUGGAGUGAAAAGCUAAUCGAACCUGGUAAUAGCUGGUUGUCUCCGAAAUAGCUUUAGGGUUAGCGUCAUGUGUUCCCUCUGGGGGUAGAGCACUGGAAGAUUUCGACAGGGCGCAAGCUCGCGAAAUCUAUCAAACUCCGAAUACCAGAGGUCAGAGCAUGGCAGUUAGACAGUGGGGGCUAAGCUCCACGCGUCAAAAGGGAAACAGCCCAGAUCUCUAAAUAAGGUCCCUAAAUCUACGUUAAGUGCAAACUAAGGAUGUGAAAUUUCUCUGACAAUGAGGAUGUUGGCUUAGAAGCAGCCAUCAUUUAAAGAAAGCGUAACAGCUCACUCAUCGAGAGAUUCUGCGCCGCAGAUAAUCGGGGCUAAACGUAGUACCGAAUUUGAGGAUUUAUAGUUUUUUCGAAAAUUGUAAGUGGUAGGAGACUAUUCCAUUCCGGCUGAGAAGGAGAAGGCGUGAGCCACUCUGGAGCGUAUGGAAGUAAAAAUGUUGGCACAAGUAACCGCAAGGAAGGUGAGAUCCCUUCCCGCCGAAAGACUAAGGUUUCCUUUGCUAUGAUAAUCAGCGAAGGGUUAGUCGGGCCUAAGGAGAUGGCGAAAGCCGCAUCCGAUGGACACAUGGUUAAUAUUCCAUGACUUCUAAUCUGUGCGAUGGGAGGACGGAGUGUAGUAUGUAUAGCUCAUUAUUGGAUUUGAGUUUGUGCUGUGAGUGUUGUGCGUAGGAAAAUCCGCGUACUGCCUUAGAUGGCAUAAUGCAAGCAGAGCAGAAAUGUGUGGGUUCGCCCAUGCAGAUUGUACAAAGCACGCUUCCGAGAAAAUUCCCUAAGCUUAACAGAUGAGAAACCGUACCGUAAACCGACACAGGUAGUCAGGUCGAGUAGACCAAGGCGAACGAGUGAUUAAUCCCCAAGGAACUCGGCAAAAAAGCAGCCGUAACUUUGGAAUAAGGCUUGGCGUCCGCAAGGACGCCCGCAGCGAAAGAUUCUCUGGCAACUGUUUAUCAAAAACACAGCUCCCUGCGAACACGUAAGUGGAUGUAUAGGGGGUGACACCUGACCAAUGCGAGAAGGUCAACCAGCGGCGGUGUGUGCAUCACAUUGCAUGUGAUGCAGUAGUUUAGAACAUAGUAUCUUAGUAGAUUAGACAAAUGCGAAAUGCAUUUUCUAACAUACUAAUUUCUAACAUACUAAAAUACUGUCAUCAUGCGUAGCGUGAUGUACAUGCUGACUGUUGUAAGCCCUCGUGAAUGUCGGCCGUAACUAUAGACAUGACCGUUGUAGUUACGCAAAAAAAUCUUGCCAAAUGCUGGAAACACUGGUUAGUAUUCAUUACUACUCAUUCCCCGUCGAGGGAAAAGUAACAAUGUAAUGAUGCAGUCAAUCAGCAGGAAAGACUUCUACUACAAAAAUUUCUAAAUGAAUCAAGAAGAAAAAUGGCUUAAAAAUAUCACUCCAAAAGAUGGAUACUAUAUAGCUGGUUUUACAGACGGAGAGGGAAGUUUCAAUAUUUCCCUUAAAAAAAGAAAUGAUUAUGUAGGAGAAUGGAAAAUUACAGCUUCGUUCAAUAUUUCUCAAAAAGACAGAGUUAUCCUUGCAUGGAUCAAAAAAAUCCUUGGAUGCGGAACUCUGCGAGAAAGAGCGGAUGGAGUUGUUUAUUACGAAGUGACAAACGUCGCAUCACUAAAAGAAAAAAUUAUUCCAUUCUUUGUUAAAUUUAACUUUAUUUCUUCAAGAAAAAAGACAAAUUUUGCAAUCUUCAAACAGAUUGUGGAAAUUAUGUCGAGCGGAGAACAUCUCACAAAAGAAGGAUUUGAAAAA